Molecule: ribosomal RNA, 1016 nt
Filed under: uncultured archaeon
Lineage: Archaea
Description: bacterial SSU rRNA
Rfam family: Archaeal small subunit ribosomal RNA
Source: RNAcentral
GCCGGAGGCUACUGCUAUCGGGGUUCGAUUAAGCCAUGCGAGUUAAAUGUUCUUCGUGAACAUAGCGAACUGCUCAGUAACACGUGGAUAACCUACCCUUAGGACCGGAAUAACCCCGGGAAACUGGGGAUAAUACCGGAUAAGCCAUAGACGCUGGAAUGCCCUAUGGUUCAAAGCUCCGGCGCCUAAGGAUGGAUCUGCGGUCUAUCAGGUUGUAGUGGGUGUAACGUACCUACUAGCCGACGACGGAUACGGGUUGUGAGAGCAAGAGCCCGGAGAUGGAUUCUGAGACACGAAUCCAGGCCCUACGGGGUGCAGCAGGCGCGAACACUUUACAAUGCGGGAAACCGCGAUAAGGGAACCCCGAGUGCCAGCAUCAAAUGUUGGCUGUCCGGAUGAUUAAAAAUCAUUUGUUAGCAAGGGCCGGGCAAGACCGGUGCCAGCCGCCGCGGUAACACCGGCGGCCCGAGUGGUAGCCGUUUUUACUGGGUCUGAAGGGUCCGUAGCCGGCUUGAUAGGUCCUUUGGGAAAUCUGGCAGCUUAACUGUCAGGCUUCUAAGGGAUACUGUCAGGCUUGGGACCGGAAGAGGUAAGGGGUACUCCAGGGGUAGGAGUGAAAUCUUGUAAUCCCUGGGGGACCAUCUGUGGCGAAGGCGCCUUACCAGAACGGGUCCGACGGUGAGGGACGAAAGCUAGGGGAGCAAACCGGAUUAGAUACCCGGGUAGUCCUAGCUGUAAACGAUGCUCGCUAGGUGUCAGACACGGUGCGACCGUGUUUGGUGCCGCAGGGAAGCCGUUAAGCGAGCCACCUGGGAAGUACGGUCGCGAGGGUGAAACUUAAAGGAAUUGGCGGGGGAGCACUACAACGGGUGGAGCCUGCGGUUUAAUUGGAUUCAACGCCGGAAGACUCACCGGGUGCGACAGCAAUAUGUAGGUCAGGCUGAAGGUCUUACCUGAAUCGCUGAGAGGAGGUGCAUGGCCGUCCUCAGUUCGUACUGUGAAGCAUCCUGUUAAGU